This 443-nucleotide ribosomal RNA is filed under the name uncultured bacterium. RNAcentral's name for it is "bacterial SSU rRNA". It matches the Rfam family "Bacterial small subunit ribosomal RNA", at positions 331 to 792 of the family's 1533-position model. The record is from RNAcentral.
CCAGACUCCUACGGGAGGCAGCAGUGGGGAAUAUUGGGCAAUGGGGGAAACCCUGACCCAGCGACGCCGCGUGAGGGAAGAAGGUUUUCGGAUUGUAAACCUCUGUCCUUGGUGACGAUAAUGACGGUAGCCAAGGAGGAAGCCACGGCUAACUACGUGCCAGCAGCCGCGGUAAUACGUAGGUGGCGAGCGUUAUCCGGAUUUAUUGGGCGUAAAGCGUCCGCAGCCGGUUUAUUAAGUAUAGAAUAAAACUUCGGGGCUCAACCCCGUCUCGUUCUAUAAACUGAUAGACUAGAGUGUGGUAGAGGCAAGUGGAAUUUCUAGUGUAGCGGUAGAAUGCGUAGAUAUUAGAAGGAACACCAGUGGCGAAGGCGACUUGCUGGGCCAUCACUGACGGUCAGGGACGAAAGCGUGGGGAGCGAAUAGGAUUAGAUACCCUAGUA